UCUACCCCCCCAGGGUAGCCUAAUGGACAUGGCAUCUGCCCGGUAAGCGGAACACUGUGGGUUCGUUUCCCAUCCCUAGAA
This 81-nucleotide transfer RNA is filed under the name Cordylochernes scorpioides. Its description in RNAcentral is "tRNA-Thr". It matches the Rfam family "tRNA". Rfam says of the family: Transfer RNA (tRNA) molecules are approximately 80 nucleotides in length. The record is from RNAcentral. Lineage: Eukaryota; Metazoa; Arthropoda; Arachnida; Pseudoscorpiones; Chernetidae.